This is a small nuclear RNA of Phascolarctos cinereus (koala), 103 nucleotides long. The record is from Ensembl. Lineage: Eukaryota; Metazoa; Chordata; Mammalia; Diprotodontia; Phascolarctidae.
GUGCUGGCUUGGCAGCCCAUAUACUAAAAUUGGAAUGAUACAGGGAUUAACAUGGUCCCUGCAUAAGAAUGACAUGCAUAUUAAUGAAAUGUUCCAUAGUUUU